UACGUAGGGACCGAGCGUUUGUCCGGAUUCAUUGGGCGUAAAGAGCUCGUAGGCGGCUGCUCAAGUCGAAUGUGAAAACUCGAGGCUCAACCUCGAGCCUGCAUUCGAUACUGGGCGGCUAGAGUCUGGUAGGGGGGAUCUGGAAUUCCUGGUGUAGCGGUGGAAUGCGCAGAUAUCAGGAGGAACACCGGUGGCGAAGGGCGGGAUCCGUGGGCCGAUACUGACGCUGAGGAGCGAAAGCGUGGGGAGCGAACAGG
Molecule: ribosomal RNA, 257 nt
Filed under: uncultured bacterium
Lineage: Bacteria
Description: partial 16S ribosomal RNA
Rfam family: Bacterial small subunit ribosomal RNA
Source: RNAcentral